CUUAAGAAAAAUGAUUGAGAAAAAAUUGACCUUCUUCAGCCUAAUGUAAAAAAUAAGUAAUGCAAAUUGACCUAAAAAGUCACCUUGAUAUAAAUUUAUUCUAUUCCUAUCUUGUCCUAUGCAUAAAUGCUACUUCCCGCCAAUGAAAGUGUGUUUGAAUGUAUUUCCAAUAUGGCUCAAGCAAAUGAUUCUGCCAUUUCUAUGCAGGAUGAACUUGAACAAUUUGAUAUUAAUUUUUCUCAAGUCUUGUGAGGCAAGCAAGAGUAUCAAUUGGGAAGACGUAAAGUUAUUGAUAUUUAUGACCGUAUGUCUAUAUAUUUGACAACUUCAGCAGUUAUCAACUUCUGAUCUUCAGUUUUAAGGUUUUUCUUGUGCUAAUUUUAUGUAAUAGAAAUUGAAGUAUCAAUUCUAUUUAUGAGAGGUUGAUACUGCUUUUGUCUAGGAUUAGAUGGACUCACAUCCUUCUAUGGCUUCUAGGGAUAAUGUUACCUUGCUUAAAAUAGGCUUCUUCUUUGGAAAAUUGCCAUUGCUUAAAGCACAUGAUGUGAAACAUUGAAAUUCUUGGCCAUAAUAUUGUGGAUGAAAAUUAGAAGUUGCACUAAAUGCUUAAUAUUUGAAUUCACCUAAUAGUUAUGUCAAUUGAUAAAUUUACUAGAAAAAUCUAACAGGGUCGAAAUUUAGAGUGCUUUAUUGUCACAUAGUUUAGUUUUACUACAGAUUCUUGCAUUUAGUAUCUGUAGUGUCAUUAACGUAUAAAUAUUAUGAUGCUUCAAAUGUAUAGAAUUGACACCUUCAAGAGGCAUCUUCCUUUCUUGGGAGAGGAGGGAAUACAUAAACAUAUAUAAAAGCGGUAAGGAGGUUUGAGGAGAACUUAUAUAGUUGUAAUAAGUUGGGUGUUUCUCUCACACAAGCUUUUUUUGCUUUAUACUGUGCGCAAUUUGAAUUAUACGUUUCAUACAAUAGUUUAUCUCUUACUAAAACUAAAUUCGGUGGUGUUUUGAAUUGAUGUUAGGUCCAAGCACCAGGAAUGUUUAUAGAUUAGUUGAGAAAGAUAUCUUUGGAGAUGCUGAAAUUAGAGAGAGAAAGCAGAUCCCUACAACCAAUUCUUAUCGGUUUAAUGCUACUAAAACAGCCAAAAUCCUUAACAUUCAGGUAAUGGAGAUCAUUUCAUUUUUAUGUACCGAUAACAAAUGUGGUUCUCUUGUGCUUUCGAACAAUUAAACAGUAUUUUGGUUAUCCUUGAUGAAGCUGCUAUAGCUGCGGUUAUGAAUGCUGACGAUUGGAAAGCAUAGCUAUGAGGCAAUUUCAGACAGAGGAUAACAAAUGGGAUGUAUUUGUUACCUUAAUUGUUAUAAAUUUGACCGUUAUUACAAAAACAUUGCUGCCAGCAAAUUAUUGUCAGUUCAUGUUGACUUGCUAGAAAUUUUUGAAUGUAUAUGACGUGAUACACACCCAUGAUGCCUUUAAGAUAAAUUCACUAAUAAAUAAUUAAGCUUAUGAGAAAAAGGAUUUUUAUUAUAUGGUGAUAUUUUACAAUGUCAUGCACGUUGAUGAUGCUUUUAGAUAAUCACAAAUCUUAGAUGAUAUUUACAAAUUUUAUAUGCGUAUAUUACAUUUGGUAUGCUAAAAGAAUAAUAGAAUAUUGAUUUGUGAGUACUUGUUACUUUAUCUCAAAAGUGAUUCAGAAUAUUGCCUUGUAUAUUAGCAUGUAUUUGGAUGAUCCUCUGAAGUUUGAAGAUUAAUUUUUUGUUAUUUGAGUUAGAUAUAUCAUCGUACUAAAUAAAAGAGGGAAUCAGGCCUUCAAUGUUCAUUCUUAUGGUUCCCUUUUUCACACCUGAUUUUUUUCUACCAUUCAUAAAUUGGUUCAAACGGGAGUGUAUUAAAUGCUCCCUUACGGAAAUCUUUUCUCACACGCCUCUCUAAUGCUACAAGAUGGAAAGUAGUGCUAACCUUUCCUUUUCCCUUUCCUUGUGGCGGAUUUCCAAAGAGACUCGUGGUCUCCUCAAGAUCUUGGAGAAGAAGCAAUGGAAUCAUUGCAUCAUUCUUUGAUUCGCAAUCGGCUUCUCGGAACAGUUGGAGUUACGACUCUCUCAAGAAUUUCCAUCUAAUUUUCCCUACUGUUUAGACCCAUCUCAAGCAAGUUUAUUUUAUCAAUUCAUGAACAUCUUCUUCAUGAUUCUUGGGAAAGAAUUGAUAGUUUCAUGAUAAGAAUUGAAUAUUUUUUGCCCCCCUUUUACCCCUUUUCAGCUUAAAGUGUAGGAAUAUUAUGGUCUCUCCCUUAUCACUUCCAAACAAAUUGCGUCGAGAAGAAUUCUUAUUUUUUUUUAGGCGGUGUAUGGCGGUGAUUUUUGUUAUAAGAUCAAGCAUGUGCUAGAGCCUUUUAGCUCGGGUGAGCUCUCUUAAGCCGAUUACAUCUAGAUCCACCGAGUCAACAUGAAGAACAAUUCUAGCCUCGAAGGUCUCAUGAAGGUGGCAGAUCUUGUAAUCCUCCAACUCGUUGAUCGAAUUUUUCCUAUAUCGGUUUUGUUAGAUUAUUCAGUUUCUGUGCUUUAUUUUUUAUUUAUUUUCUACUCUACUUGUUCUAUUAAAUUUCUACUAUGAAGGGAUUAAUAUUGAGCAAUUGUAGGUUGCAACGAGAUUGUCUAAGGACGAGAAGUUUCAACAACUUUCCAUGUAGCACUAGCUUGAAGCUGUAAGUCUCUGAACCAUAUAAGUGAUUCUUACAUUUGGGAUUUGCUAUUAUCCAAAUUUUAGCUUCCAUUCAUUCUGAAGUGUAAAGUAUUUUUGCAGUGGACAAACUUAUAAAAAAUGCUUUUAUCAUUGGUUUUACCCACUCUUAGUGAGAAGACAAAUCUGAACCAUCGAUAUAUUUGCUUGAAAAUGGUCUGUGAUAUUAAUUAUCAUUAUUUACUGUAGAUUGAUCCACACCGUAGGUAUUGGCACAAUUUACAUCUCUAUUGCAAUAUCUGGUUCAAAAGAGAGGCUACAACAUUUCUUUUACUGUGAGCACCCAACUAACUAUUUUAGAUUGAUACCUUAUUUGGUUUGACGUUUGGGAAACAAUUAUGGGAGUAGAAACUUAUAACUAUUAGAAAUACAAUCAAAACUUUCUCCUUUUUUUUUUGAUAUUUUAAUGAACAAAAUAUUUCUUACUGACUUGUUCUUGCAACAUUUGUUCUUUAAUGUAAAGGUUGGAUGUUAGAGAUGGAAAAGAACUAAAUUUAGAGAAGUGCUCAGGGGACAAUUUGCAAUGGCAAUGCAUCAAAUAUCUGGGACCAGCAAGUUUCAAGUCAUUGAAGAGCAUUAGCAAUCUCAAGAGUAGACAUUGCACUUGAAUUUAUUUUUUCAAAUAAUGUAAAGUGCUAAACUAAUUAUAGUACAUUAGCUAGCAUUCUCAUGAACACAAAUUAUCAUUCCUCCAGCAGAAAGAGUGAAAUCAUAUGAAGUCGUGGUUGAAAAUGGGAAGCUUGUGUACAAACAGAGUGGUUACACUGUGGACACAAUUGAAGGUUCAAAAUGUAUUGUUCAUCCAAUUGAACCCGUAUAAGAAAGGUAUUUUUGUUUUAUCAAAUUUGAGAUUUUCCGUUUUUCUUUCCCAACAGUAAUGAACUUGAAUUACAAUAAUCAGUAGUCAUCGAUGGUAUUGAAGUUUUUUGAAGUACAUAAAGGAAUCCUAUAUUAUGCAUUAAAUGUUUAAGAAGACACACCACAAAAAAAAAAAAAAAAAAUUUGAAAAAAAGGAAUAAAGAAAAAAGAAAAAAGAGAGAGGUAUAAAUCUAUUUUCUUGGAACGCUAACAUUACCGUAGAAAUAACAACACCCGUGCAUUGCACGGGCAAUAGAUUAGCAUAUAUAUAUAUAUAUAUAUAUAAACCUGAAAACACACAAUAAAAAAAAAAAGGGUGGUCGUGUGUGCAAGAAGAGAAAAAUUGAGGUUGUUGGGAAGAAACUUAAUCUGUGGCUGCUUUUGGCUUGGAAAAAAGAGAGAUAAGAAAACCAAGCUGCUGAAAGAAGGAAAAAUAAUUGAAAGGGAAGUUUUCUUUCAAUCUUUUGGGUGUGAAUUCAUACAAGGUUUUUCCUCUCUCAUAAUAUAAAUUGUGAUUUUCUCUAAGGUGUAUUUUGGGUACUUUGUAAGUGUUGUAUUCAAAGUGGGUUCUCACAAGUUUAAUCAAACUGGUGAUUUAUGGUGAGAUAAAUUGUUGUCUUAGAGAUUAAUUAUUGUGGUAUUUCCAAUUUGUUGAGAAUUCAAGUUUUGGGAUAUAAACUUGAAUAUUGUAAUCUAUAUUUUUAUUAUAGUGGAUUUUGGCUCGAAUUGCCCUGUGG
RNAcentral lists this long non-coding RNA (4322 nucleotides) under Olea europaea subsp. europaea. Lineage: Eukaryota; Viridiplantae; Streptophyta; Magnoliopsida; Lamiales; Oleaceae. The record is from RNAcentral.